Molecule: ribosomal RNA, 466 nt
Filed under: uncultured bacterium
Lineage: Bacteria
Description: partial 16S ribosomal RNA
Rfam family: Bacterial small subunit ribosomal RNA
Source: RNAcentral
ACGAACGCUGGCGGCGUGCUUAACCCCUGCAAGUCGAACGGAAAGGCCCUGCUUUUGUGGGGUGCUCGAGUGGCGAACGGGUGAGUAACACGUGAGUAACCUGCCCUUGACUUUGGGAUAACUUCAGGAAACUGGGGCUAAUACCGGAUAGGAGCUCCUGCUGCAUGGUGGGGGUUGGAAAGUUUCGGCGGUUGGGGAUGGACUCGCGGCUUAUCAGCUUGUUGGUGGGGUAGUGGCUUACCAAGGCUUUGACGGGUAGCCGGCCUGAGAGGGUGACCGGCCACAUUGGGACUGAGAUACGGCCCAGACUCCUACGGGAGGCAGCAGUGGGGAAUAUUGCACAAUGGGCGGAAGCCUGAUGCAGCAACGCCGCGUGCGGGAUGACGGCCUUCGGGUGGUAAACCGCUUUCGCCUGUGACGAAGCGUGAGUGACGGUAAUGGGUAAAGAAGCACCGGCGAACUACGU